This 460-nucleotide ribosomal RNA is filed under the name uncultured bacterium. Its description in RNAcentral is "partial 16S ribosomal RNA". It matches the Rfam family "Bacterial small subunit ribosomal RNA", at positions 338 to 795 of the family's 1533-position model. The record is from RNAcentral.
CCUACGGGGUGCAGCAGUGAGGAAUAUUGGUCAAUGGACGAGAGUCUGAACCAGCCAAGUAGCGUGAAGGAUGACUGCCCUAUGGGUUGUAAACUUCUUUUAUAUGGGAAUAAAAUGUUCCACGUGUGGGAUUUUGUAUGUACCAUAUGAAUAAGGAUCGGCUAACUCCGUGCCAGCAGCCGCGGUAAUACGGAGGAUCCGAGCGUUAUCCGGAUUUAUUGGGUUUAAAGGGAGCGUAGGUGGAUUGUUAAGUCAGUUGUGAAAGUUUGCGGCUCAACCGUAAAAUUGCAGUUGAAACUGGCAGUCUUGAGUACAGUAGAGGUGGGCGGAAUUCGUGGUGUAGCGGUGAAAUGCGUAGAUAUCACGAAGAACUCCGAUUGCGAAGGCAGUUCACUGGACUGCAACUGACACUGAGGCUCGAAAGUGUGGGUAUCAAACAGGAUUAGAUACCCUAGUAGUC